AGAGUUUGAUCCUGGCUCAGGAUGAACGCUGGCGGCGUGCCUAAUACAUGCAAGUCGAGCGAGGCCUUCGGGGCCUAGCGGCGGACGGGUGAGUAACACGUGGGUAACCUGCCUGUAAGACUGGGAUAACUUCGGGAAACCGAAGCUAAUACCGGAUAAUUUCGAGCAUCGCAUGAUGCUUGAUGGAAAGACGGCUUCGGCUGUCGCUUACAGAUGGACCCGCGUCGCAUUAGCUAGUUGGUGAGGUAACGGCUCACCAAGGCGACGAUGCGUAGCCGACCUGAGAGGGUGAUCGGCCACACUGGGACUGAGACACGGCCCAGACUCCUACGGGAGGCAGCAGUAGGGAAUCUUCGGCAAUGGGCGAAAGCCUGACCGAGCAACGCCGCGUGAGCGAUGAAGGCCUUCGGGUCGUAAAGCUCUGUUGUUAAGGAAGAACAAGUACGAGAGUAACUGCUCGUACCUUGACGGUACUUAACGAGAAAGCCACGGCUAACUACGUGCCAGCAGCCGCGGUAAUACGUAGGUGGCGAGCGUUAUCCGGAAUUAUUGGGCGUAAAGCGCGCGCAGGCGGUUUCUUAAGUCUGAUGUGAAAGCCCACGGCUCAACCGUGGAGGGUCAUUGGAAACUGGGAAACUUGAGUACAGAAGAGGAAAGCGGAAUUCCACGUAGCGGUGAAAUGCGUAGAGAUGUGGAGGAACACCAGUGGCGAAGGCGGCUUUCUGGUCUGUAACUGAGCUGANNNNNGAAAGCGUGGGGAGCAAACAGGAUUAGAUACCCUAGUAGUCC
RNAcentral lists this ribosomal RNA (789 nucleotides) under uncultured bacterium. RNAcentral's name for it is "bacterial SSU rRNA". It matches the Rfam family "Bacterial small subunit ribosomal RNA", at positions 8 to 796 of the family's 1533-position model. The record is from RNAcentral.